This 335-nucleotide ribosomal RNA is filed under the name uncultured bacterium. RNAcentral's name for it is "partial 16S ribosomal RNA". It matches the Rfam family "Bacterial small subunit ribosomal RNA", at positions 338 to 670 of the family's 1533-position model. The record is from RNAcentral.
CCUACGGGAGGCAGCAGUGAGGAAUAUUGGUCAAUGGCCGCGAGCCUGAACCAGCCAAGUAGCGUGAAGGAUGACUGCCCUACGGGUUGUAAACUUCUUUUAUAAAGGAAUAAUGUGAGGCACGUGUGCCUUUUUGUAUGUACUUUAUGAAUAAGGAUCGGCUAACUCCGUGCCAGCAGCCGCGGUAAUACGGAGGAUCCGAGCGUUAUCCGGAUUUAUUGGGUUUAAAGGGAGCGUAGAUGGGUUGUUAAGUCAGUUGUUAAAGUUUGGGGCUGUCCCGUAGAUUUGCAUUUGAUACUGGAAGACUUGAGUACAGACGAGGUAGGCGGAAUACG